UUUUUUUUUUUUUUUUUUUUUUUUUUUUUUUUUUUUUUUUUUUUGCCACCAUCUUACUUUUGAAAGAGAAUGAUCUACAUGUUUGUAUGUGCAUUGAGGGCUGACAUAAAUGACUAUAUGCCUAUAUCUCAACAAGUGAUAUGACUAUGUUUGAGAGCACGCUUGAGGCUGCUAGAGUAAUUGAAAAGGAAAACAAGAGACAAUUAGAUUAGACGGGAGUAGUGAUCGCAAGAGAAAACGUUAAAGAAGAAUUGUCGGAAAAAGGCAUGAGGGUGAAUGUCGUUAUGGUUCAAAGGAAUGUUAUCGGGGUGGAGUGGAACACUAGGUCACUUGGCUCAAGAAUGUGGUUAUGUUAAAAGAAAAUAGUACAACUGAUGGGGGUGUGCAAUGUUGCAUUCCAAAGGCAAAGACUUUUGGACUUUUGUUUAUGAAGUAGCAUGUAAGAAAUCAUCUUGUGUUGACAAGGAUCUGUAUAUUGUGCUUGUGUUACACAUUGGUUUUAAGAUCAAAUUUGUGUGGGGGGUCGCGAGGGGCAGUGGCUCCAUCGUCUUUUCUAUCUGGCUAUGAUAAGCUCCAAGUAGCAGGCUCUAUGCAAUGGCGAACAAUGGUGAUUACCACAAUUGUUUCUAUUAUUGCUUCUCCAGUUUGUUCCAUUUUUUUUGUUACAUACCUUGCAGAAUCAAGAGCAAAAAUAGAGAAGGCGUGCGACAGGGGAGAUAUAGGAGCGGCUGGGGUAUUUCGUUUUUUUAUUUAUUUAUUUUUUUUAGUAAUUUAAAUAGGGCGAUUUCAUAUAUACCCCUACAAACUUGCAAAAUAUCAUAUAUACCCCUGCAAAAUUAUAGAUAUCACAUAUACCCUUACAAAGUAGUUGACAUAUCAUAUAUACCCAAUUGAUUAAAAACAAUUUAAUAAAAGACAUUUUUACCCUUAUUUUUCUAUAACUUUGAAAUCUUAUAUACGACCUUCAACUUCAAAUAUUAUACUUGCUCUUUUCUAGCUUAAUUUAUUUAGCUUAAAUAUUAUAUAUACAGAGAAUACUAUUGUUUAUGGAAAAAAUAUAAACAAAAAUGGGUAAAAAUAAAUUUAAGCUUAAAAUCUGCUAUAUAAAAAUAUGAAAUUAAAAGAUGAGCGUAUAUGAAAACUUAAGAGUUAAAAAAAUAAGUGUAAAAUGAUUAUUUAUUAGAUUGUUUUUAAUAAUUUGGGUAUAUUUGAUAUUUUAACUAUUUAUUAAGGGUAUAUAUAUGAUAUUUUUAGUUUUUUAGGUGAAUUAUAUAAAAAAAUCCCAUUCUAGUUAAAGAAACUUAAGAAACCUAUUUGUGUGGACACAAAAAUGCCACGUGUUACACUUUUUAACAAUCAAUUUUUUCUGAAUCUGUGUACAUUUUUUGUCAGAAGAAAGAGGAGAGAGAAUGUUUGAAUGUGUUAGAGCAUCCACAAUAGCUCAUUUAUAAGGGUUGUUUUUGCUCAUUUUUACAACUCACUCAUUCUUUCUUAUUGUGUGAAUCAUUUUUGUAAUUUGUUUUUAGCUUUCAUAUUUGUGGAAGAACGGGUAAUGUUGUCAGGUGGUGGGGGGUUGGGUAAUAAGUUAAAAAUAAUGGUAAAAGGUGAUGAUGAUGUGGCAAUGUUUUUUGGUUUUCUUAUUGGGUGGAUUUUUUGUGUUUUUGAGUAUUAGUGUUUUUUGUGAUGUGGAAGCUGACUAGACAUGUUUUUUUGGUAUUUUUGUAGUUCCUUAUUGUGGAUGGCCUUACAUUUUUUUUAGGAUUACAUUUUUUUGAACUUCAUAUGUUACACAUUUUAUGGGUUAAUAUAACAGUUUUUUUUUCAAAAUUUUUGAAUUUUAAGUGUUACAAUUUUCAGAACUUACAAAGGUUUUUAGUUAUGUAGUGCAUGUAACAAUAUGUUACAUUUUCUUAGUAAGUUUUUUUGUGUAACACUUACAGACAGAUACACUUUUGUGUCCGACUGUAACAAUUCUGAAAAACACUUUUUGCAGGCUUUACCUUUUUUUUUUUUCUGAAAAAGCAACAUUUUUGUACUUGAUUUAAUCUACACCAUAGAUUAAAUGGAUGAAUGACGGAGAUGAGGUUUCUUUUGUUUUCUUAACAAGGUUUUCAUUUUAUCCUUCUCCAGUUUUUGUAAGGGCAUAAUGAUAUUUUUUUGUUUUUGUUGGGUACAUAUGAAAUUUUUCAAGCUGAUAAGAGUAUAUAUGAAAUUAAUCCAUUUACAUAAGUAUUCAAUAUGGUUUGUAAAACGGUAAUAGCCAGUUUGCACAAAUUUAACGGAUCUUUUAUCGAAAGUCGGUGUUUGGACUCAACCAUGUUAUAAACUGAAAACCGUAUAUAUCAAACAUGUAUUUUUUUAAGAUUAGACUUGGCCUUAAAGGUGAUAGUUUUGUCAAACCAUAUAUAUCACUUCAUCCGAAUAAUAUUAAUACUAUACUAUAAUGUUGAUUGUGUUUUUUAGGUUUAAUCACAUUUAAACAUAUACUUGGUAUAAUUGCCAUCCAAAUAAUAAUACUAUAAUGAUGAUUUUGUUGUUUACGUUUAAUCACAUUUAAACAUAUACUUAGUAUAAUUGAGUCAGUAUUUCACGUAACCCUAUACGAUCAUGCGAUAUGUCACUAAUAAUGUUGCUUAUAAGUUGCAUAUUUAGCACGUAUAUCCAACACAAUGAUCAUGUAAAACGUUAGUUUAUAUUUUUUUUUUACACGAACACCUCUUUCUUUCGAUAAAACACGUCAAACUACCCUGUUGUGCAAUCGAUUGUUAAUUCGAUAAAACACCUCAAACUACCCCGUUGUGCAAUCGAUUGUUAAAACUAGUCAUCAUGUUAGUGGACGUGAAAUAUCGCUAAACCAUAAAUAAGCCCAUUGAGAAGGAAAAAGAGGAACGGUGUAUCAAAAGGGUGAGAAUGAGGUUUCUUAUUAUAUUUGUUAGGGACUUAAGGUAAUAAAUAAAUAAAAAUUAAUAAAUAUAAGAAGUUUAGAUAAAAUAAAUAAAUAUACGAACGAGACCUUCAUUCGUGUUCGUUAAAUGAACAUUCCACCGAAUAAUUCACGAAUGUUCACUAAACGUUCGAUUCGUUUACAGUCUAGAGUCACUUCAAUUAAAAUUUGGGCCUGAGCCUAAUGCACAUUGAGGCCUGUUUUAACGGAAUAAAUAAAUUGACGUUUCGUCCUCGUCAUUGUUGCCACUUGCCUGCUUCAGGCUAACACAGAAGCCGAGAGAGAAGAAACGGAGACUAAGCCAACAGAAUGAAAACAAGAAAUGAUGGACAUGUUUCAGAAGAAGCCGAUGAAUCUAGUGACGAUGAGGCAGCCUUUUCACAUGGUUUCGCUAAGUUUAGUGAAGUAGGGGACCCCAUAGCAGCGAUGAUGUGGAUUUCUCAGAUGGAGGACGUCUUUGAACUUAUGAAGUGUGCUGACGAGGACAAGGUAAAGUAUGGCGUCUCUGUGUUGAGAUCAGAAGCUCGUGUUUGGUGGGACAGGGUCAAGGAUACGAGUGGGGCCGCGACUCCAACAAUGACGUGGAGUCGAUUCAAGGAAGUGUUCAGAGAUGAGUUUUAUCCUCUACGCGUAGAGCUGGAAUUAGUGCAACAGUACACGACAGUCAAACAAGAAAGCAAUGAAAGUGUGCGAGAGUAUGCUAAUAAGUUUACGAAACUGUGGUGGUUCUUUUGGGACUAUCUUACUGCUGAAAAGAGAUUGAUAUACCUUUUUGUACGUGGAUUGACGGCUGAGAUAAAAGCUGUUAUCUCAGAAAAUGAUGUUACUACAUUGGAUAAAGCUGUGCAGGCUGCCAGAGAAAUAAACGACAGGCUAAUAGAAGAGAGGAAAGAACGCAAACGUAGAAAGUGUACCAAUUGUGGGAAAAAGCAUGGGGGAGUGUGUCGUUAUGGUUCGAAUGAAUGUUAUCGGUGUGGAAAACCAGGUCACUUGGCUCGAGAAUGUUCUGCUUAAAGGAAAUGGUACAAUUGGACUCGGUAAAGACUUUUGGGCUUGGGUUUAUGAAGUAUUAUGUAUGAAAUCAGGUUUAUAUCAUGUUUUUUUUUUUUUUUUUUGUGUGUGUUUGUUAAAAACUGAAAAUUUUACUCGAAAAAUGGUUUAUGUGA
This is an RNA transcript of Helianthus annuus (common sunflower), 4110 nucleotides long. RefSeq lists it as uncharacterized. NCBI's taxonomy places the organism in Eukaryota, Viridiplantae, Streptophyta, Magnoliopsida, Asterales, Asteraceae. The record is from RefSeq and is a predicted model, not a curated record. The transcript has 3 exons.